GUGGAAUCAAUCUCUUUGCAUCAAUAUUCAUUAGGGAAAUUGGUCUAAAAUUUUCUUUUUUCUGCUUUGGUCCUUCUUGGUUUAGUUAUCAGUACCAUAUUAGUGUCAUAGAAAGAAUGUGGAAGCACUCUUACUUCCCCUAUUUUCCCCCAUAGUUUGUAUGUUAUCGGAAUCAAUUAUUCUUUAAAUGUUUGGUUUGUGUAUUAGAAAAAUUCCCUCUCUUUAUAUAACAGAAUUCACAUCAAAGAGUAUCUAUGGAUAUUUAUAUGUUUAUGUGUGUGUGUGUUGUGCAAAUGUGUGUGUGUAAUUAUCCUGUUACAAAUGAGUUUCUCAAGUAUUCAAAACCUUUACCAGUAUGUGCGAAAUAUUGGAUUUUUUUGUUUAUGAAAGAAAAUGUAAAGACACACAUUUAAAUUUGAUAUAAAAAAAUUUUUUUAAUAGUUAGAGGGAUCCCAAAGGGAUAUACGUCUUUUUUUUCCUUUUUCUUUUUUUUUUUUUUUUUUUUUUUUUUUGAUGUGCUAAAACAUUUAGGGACAGUAUUAGAACUGCAAUUCCCCUGACACUGCUUAUAAAAUCCUGAAGAUGAAAAAUAUCCCUCAGAAUGAUUACUAAUAGGCAGAAACAAUUUGUCUUUUUUUUUUUUUUAUCCCAAUCCCCAUCCCCAAGCAGGGUAUACUCAAGAAAGGAUUUGCACAUUUAUGCUAUGGAAGUGUUAACUAAUAGUAGUACCAUAGAUAUGAAUUCUGAAAUUCUUGUCAGGAAAUGCUAAAAUGCCCAUCUUGGGAACUUAGAUUUCCACAUGUCUUGUUACCAUAGUUAAGACAACUUUGAUGGGUCCAGACUGCCUUAAUUAGUAUCUUUAUGAUACCGGUGAUGAAAAGUUCCCAGACUAUUUGGUAAACCCCAGAGGGGAGCCAUGUUUUUCCAGAAUGUCAUUAAGAUGGUCUUAAAAGCUCAAUACACAUCCCUUAUCUUCUCAAUUCUUCUGUGAUAUUUCCCUUCUUCCCCUGAGAACCCCAAAUUUAUGUUAGCCCACUACAAGAUGUGCUUAUGAUGAAGAUUUUGCCAAGUUCUUUUUAGGACUAAGCCAGGUAUGAGCUACCUCCUACAUGGCAUCUUCCUUUUAAUGAUGUCUUUCUCUUUACUGUAGCUAACUCUGGUUAGAAUGCUAAACUCCUCGAUAGAUUUCACCCCCAUUUAGUAGUAUACUGAUAUCUUCCAGCAUAUUUCUUUAAUGAUUUCUUCAAAAUACCUUUCUUUGCUAAGGCUAUUGGUCUACCAAAUCUAUUUUUAUCGAACCCUUCCUGAUGCCUGCUGUAACUCUUCAUUCUUUCAGUAAAUUGUUCUCAUAAAUAAAGAUACCUUUUGGCAAAGAGAAUGACCUUAUGAAUUUUUCACAUGCACCUUGGAUUUUGUAUUUCAGAUUAGUAAUUGCUACUCUCGCCCUAUCUUUUCUUUUUAUUUUUUUUUAAUAAUGACAAGAGGCUAGAAGCAUUUUAUUUUCCUGUCAUUACAUUUGCUAUCCCACAGUUGUUGGGCCAUUUGGGGAACAUAAAGAGGGCACCUAUACAAUAUAACCUCUCUUAAAUGUAGCAUAAUCCCUGGAUACUAAUACCAGAGUUUUGUAGAUGAGAGACAUAUUCUUUUCUCUGGUACUGCAAUUGCACUUCACACCUUGGUGACAUUUUAAUUAGUCUAAAUUUAUAUGCUUUUUCAGUAAAGCCUAUCACCCUUAGAAUCAGUGUUCUUGUUAGAAUGAUAAAAAGGAAUUAUUUCUUUGCAAAUUCCUUUUAAGAUCUAUUGUGACUUUAGACUUAAUAAAAGGUUGUUGUUUCAUCUUUUAAUUUUUAGUACCUUGCUGAUAAGGCUGGAGGAGAGAAAAGACACAUGAAAAAAAAAAUGAGAAUCCAGAAGAAAAAAUGGGAGUACUAAGUGUGCAUUAUUCAGACUUUAUAUAAAAGCUAGUAAUGUAAUUUUGAAGUUUUUUCUUUCAAUCUUCUAUUUUGGAUAUGUUAAUUUAUUUCAAUAAUCAUUUUAGGAAAAACAUUUUGUAGCUAUAAGAUAAGGAUAAUGACAUAUUAUCUUAGAAUUGAAUUACAAAUAAUUGAAUCUUAAUGGUGUUAAAUUAGUAUUUAAGUUGCAAGAAAUUUGUUUUACUUCUGUAAUUUGCUAAACUGAUGCUUUGUGGAAACAGUUUGAAUACCUUAAGAAACACUUGGAUGAACUGACUUCAAAAAAUAGACACUUGGAAUAUAUGAAUACAAAACUUAAAGAAGAAAUUAUGGAAUGUGACGAGCUGGAUCUAGAAGAUAAUUUAGAAAGAUUGAAAUUAAAAUACAAUUGGGUGGAACCAUAUACACCAAAGAUUAAAAUACAAGUGAAGCAGGAAACUGAAGAACUAAAUGAUCUAUUCUUACAGGUUAUUUUAUUUAUCAUUUUUAUCUUUUUAAACUAUUUCCAUGUAAAUACAGAUUUAGGAUUCUUCCUGUAUUCUAAAUCCAGAAUCGUUUUUUUUUUAAUUUUCCCUCUACCAUUUAUUCUCUAUUAUUAAAAAAAAAAUUAUUCUAUUGAUAUCACCAUAAAAAGAUAGAGAAAACAUUGCCUUUUGUUGUAAAUUCUGAAAAUAGACUAUUCUCUUCCCUUGUCAAAAAUGUAAAAUUACAUAUCCUGGAUACUUUGUUUCCCAGUUAAUCUUAUAACCAUAGAUAAGGUAACCAUUAUGUGCUCAGAUUACCUUAAAUUAGAAUCUUUAAGAUGCCUAUGAUAGUCACAUAAGCUUUCCCAGACAGCCUUUGUUACUGUGUCCAAGGCAAUCUCUACACCUCAAUAUGUAUCCUUGUUCCUGCCUUUAUUUUCUCUCCUCCCUGAGAUGAUGUCAACUCCCUAAGGUUCUAUUUCCUGUAUAAAAAGUGUGCUUAUGUUUAAGAUUUUUUGCUGAAUCUUUUCCUGGUAUUUUCUAAGUCACAACAUCUUCUCUCUCCUUCCUCCUGCUAAAUUGUGAGUACCAAUAGGGAAAUAAUCUUUCCCCUUGUUAAUUCAUAUAAUAAAUAGCAAACCUUUGGAAGCUCUGAUCAAUGUCUAGUCAUGGUUCUGUGUCAUGAACUGAAUCUUUAUUUUGAAGUUUUCACAUAAUAAUUCAUUUUACAACUCUUUCCUCUCCCACAUCUAGUUUUAUUUACCCAUCUAGCUGUCUAUUUUAUACCUUUGAAAUCAUAAGUGAAAAUAACCACAUAUACUAUCAAGUUUUUAAAAAAAUAAUUGUCAUAAUAUAAAAAAUAAGCAUGAGUUGUUUUCUUUUUUGUUUGUUUUUCAACCAAUUUUUAAAUUGGAAGAAAACAUUUUUUAAAAAAUUCUGGAGGUACUUUUUUUUCAAAAUAAACUCAUUAAUUUUAUAAUGAUCUAACAUAUUAGCCCUAGGAAAAGAACUUGGUGAACUAUCAUCCAAUAGAAAUAGUCUUUUCUUAAAACAUUCAAAUGUAAUUUAGUUUUCCUUGACCUGAGUCCCUUCAAAGUUAGAAUCUAUUUUUAGGAAUUCAGAAUUGCUCUCUAAUCACUGACUGCAAUUAAAAUGAAAGCUAGCAGAAUAUGUUAACAAAUAAAUUUAUAAUUUUUAAGAUAGAAUUAGGCAUUUUUGUUAACGUACUUCUUGUUUUCCAUUUGGUUUAGAUUCAAGACCUGGAAGCUGAAGUCUUAAAAAUGAAAAUCUCACAUCAAGAGACUAAAGCAAAACUAGAGAGAUGCAAAAAGGAUUAUUCUCAAGAAUAUAGGUAUACCUAAACACAGACAGGAAGAACAAAGUACUUAAACCUAGAUUGUUUUUAAAUUUUUCCAUUUGGGUCAAAGGACCCAAAGUGAAAACAUUUCUAGUCAUAUGAAAAGGUUUUCCAAAUCACUAUUAAGCAGAGAAAUGCAAAUUAAGACAAUUUUAAGAUACCACUGCAUACCUGUCAGAUUGGCUAACAUGACAGAAAACAAUAAUGACCAAUGUUGGAGGGGAUGUGGGAAAACUGGGACACUGAUCCAUUGUUGGGAACUGUGAAUGGAUCUAGUCAUUCUGCAGAGCAAUCUGGAACUAUGCUCAAAAAGUUUUUUAAACUUGCAACCCUUUU
Sarcophilus harrisii (Tasmanian devil) is the source of this 4109-nucleotide long non-coding RNA. The record is from Ensembl. NCBI's taxonomy places the organism in Eukaryota, Metazoa, Chordata, Mammalia, Dasyuromorphia, Dasyuridae.